GUGUGAAUUGCAGAAUUCCGCGAAUCAUCGAGUCUUUGAACGCAAGUUGCGCCCGAGGCUUGACCAAGGGCAUCUCUGCCAGAGCGUCACCGCGACACCCACCAGUCCACUCCCAAUUACUCUUUCAAGAGUAGUUGGGAGUGCAGCACUGAGUGAAAGUGGCCGUCCGAAUGGGGGCCACCCGAAUGAUUCAUUGUUGGGGUGGCCAGAUUGGGUCGGCUGAAAUAGAGGGAAUUUGGCCGCCGUGGUGACACAGCCCGCGAUCAGGUGAUCAAAGGAAAACUCCUUGGACAAAUGUGCACGGUGCUGUGUCUCCCAGUUGGAUUCCAAAGCAGGUCUCUCCCCAACUGCCCCUGACUUAGAAGACUCUGAGUGGGGGGGAGGGAGGGAGACGAAGUCCCGCAUCAGACCUCUGAUCAGAGAAGACUACCCGCUGAGUUUAA
RNAcentral lists this ribosomal RNA (443 nucleotides) under Fissidens adianthoides. Its description in RNAcentral is "eukaryotic LSU rRNA". The stretch from base 1 to 89 matches the Rfam family "5.8S ribosomal RNA", at positions 65 to 154 of the family's 154-position model. Lineage: Eukaryota; Viridiplantae; Streptophyta; Bryopsida; Dicranales; Fissidentaceae. The record is from RNAcentral.